RNAcentral lists this long non-coding RNA (292 nucleotides) under Gossypium raimondii (Peruvian cotton). RNAcentral's name for it is "long non-coding RNA (GRAI_LNC008030)". Lineage: Eukaryota; Viridiplantae; Streptophyta; Magnoliopsida; Malvales; Malvaceae. The record is from RNAcentral.
CGGCGACGACGCUGCCGUCCGCGGUGGCCGGAAAGUUGAAAAGGUGCGUUUUUUUCCUUUUUUUUGUAAAUCUUUUUCAAUGUAUAUGUAUAAUAGUUAAUUGAGGAAAAGAAAUAUAUGUAUGUAUAUAAACAGUUUCAAAAGAAAGAAAAAAAUAAAAAAUAAAAAUAAAAAAGAAUUAGAUCUUAUACCGAAAACAAAGAGUCCUUGAAUCUGUGUUUUUUUUUACUUUUUAUUUCUUGAAAUCGUGGAGAAGAGAGACCAUUCUUUUACAAAACAAGAUCGGUUCCUC